GUAAGCGUAAAAGGAUAGAUUUGUCUACCUCUAGUAAGUUAAACUAAGGAUAGAUCGGUUAUUGAAAACGGCCGUUAGUGAAUUAUUAUGAGACGGACUAUUAAAAUGUAUUGACUGUCAUGUUUUUAACUUUAGUUAAUGCACAAACGUGAUUUCUUUAUAUUAUAAACUAUUAACUUAAGGCUGCUAUCCCAAGAAAUCGCCAAAAUAGCGCAUUAUUGAAACCAUUUCAUAAAGUUUUAUAUAAAGUUUGUAUUUUUACAAAAAAUAUUUAUAUGUCUACAGAAUAUGAGAAGAAAAUUCAUUUUUCUUUUACAUUUCUAUCUCCAUGCGGAAAAGUACCAACGAAGUACCCCUCUCCUCCCUCCCUCCCUCUCCAACUCUUACAGUUGGAGACAUCUUAAUCAUUCAAUAUAGAUAAAGAUUAUAUUAAAAACUAUUAACUGUAAGAGUUAGGGGUAUUUUGGUGGUACUUUUUCGCAUGGAGAUAGAAAUGUGAAAAACAUGAUAUAGUUUUGUUAUUUUUGUUAAGAAAAUUGUAUUAUGUUUGUAGUAAAUUAAAAUUGCUUCUAAUUCAGAAUUAAAACUAUGACGAUCUUGUACGGGAGAGGUAUCCUAGCUUCGCUCGAUUCCUCAAGGCCGUUGAUUUGAUCUCCAGCCUUAAAUACUUCCAAGUGCUCACAAAUAGUAGAUUGUUAACCGAGGGUCUAAAGAAUCAAUUCCCGAGGUACUUAGACCGGCUAUAGUCCGAGCAGGAAUUGAUUCUUUUACCCGUGUUAAACACUCUACUUUUCAUUUCGAAUAUGAGGAAAAUAAAACUAGUUGUUUACCAGUUAUUUAUUCAUAAUAUUUAAUAAUAUUAGUAGUACCUAUUUAAAAUUAACUGUCAAAUUAGGACAAUUUAUGUCGACUUUUAAAAUUUUAAAUAUAGAACUCACCGCGUAAUUGUUGCGGUUUAUUCCGCUUAAAGAAGUUUGCGCUAAGUUCAAACUGGCUGUUUAGAAAGUCACAUGGUCGCAGCAUUUUUUUAAUUAGUUGUUUUUUUAGAUAAAACUCUUCACAGCUGACAGCAGUUCUAUUUUUAAAGUUUAUUCCGGCCCUUAGGUGGGAAAUAAUUUGUAUGAGUUUUUCCCUCUGUAUGGAAGGAAGCAGCAUUUUCCACCCAAUAAUCAGAUCAAAACAACAUUAUUAAACAUUCCGAGUAUGUGAAAUGAAAAAGUCUUUUUCGUCCAUAGAGAGCUUCCCUCCAUAGAGAGGGAAAAACUCAUACAAAUUACUUCCCACCUAAGGCCGGAAUAAACUUUAAAAAUAGAACUGCUGUGAAGAGUUUUAUGUAAAAAAGAACUAAUAAAAAAAAACUGUCAUGUGACUUUCUAAACAGCCAGUGUGAACUUAGCGCAAACUUCUUUGAGUGGAAUAAACCGCAAACAUUACGCUGUAAGUUCCAUAUUUGAAAUUUAAAAGUCGACAUAAAUUGGCGGGAUACUAAUCUGUGCUUAGAUAAAAAACUAAUUUUAUUUUCCUCAUAUUCGAAAUGAAAAGUAGAGUGUUUAACUCGGGUAAAAGUAUCAAUUCCUGCUCGGACUAUAGCCGACGUCACUGCACUCGGGCGUCGAAAUACCUCGGGAAUUGAUUCGUUCGACCCUCGGUUAACAAUCUGCUAUUAAAUUACCGAAUCUAAUGCACGUUCGGAAAAAGUUGAGCUCGUGAGAAGAACAUAAAAGAAACUCAACGGCUACUUUUAAAUCAAUUGGAGUAUUUUAUAAAAGCUGUGAUAUACAUAACAAAUAAGUUUGUAAGUUGCUGCAUCCAAUAUAAUACGAAUCGUGUUGAAAAUUAAAAGAGUUUUAGGUACUUCAUAGAAAUAAACUGUAAAUAUAAAAUAUCGUAUAUUGGAUGCAUCAACCUUUAGAGCUUGAAUUCUUUAGAUUAAAUAUUGGUCUUCGCUGCGCUCCAACUAGUCACCGCAGGCUUAGCCGCAAAGUGCGGCAACUAAUACUACGCCCAAGUGGGCGUAAUCGAGCCAGUCUCGAACAAUGUGUGACGUUGACGUGCCACAUGUUCUGUUAAACUCUGCUAAUAAUUGAAACUAAAAUGCCGGGUUGCGUAGUAAAACUUUGUAAAAAUAAUACUACAAGAAAUAAGAAAGACACUGGGAUCAUAUAACAUCAGUAAGUAUUUUGUAUUUUAUUAAUUUAAAUGUAAAAUAACACGAAGCGUAUGUUACAAAUUUUGAAAGUUGCCAUUGAGUGUAAAUAUGCCACGCACACAAGCAUCUAAUAGUUCCCGUAAAAAAAAGCUAUUGUUCUUAGGUAGUGUGGUAUCUAGUUGGAGCGCAGCGGAGACCAAACCUUAAUCUAAGUUGAAUUCAUUGUUUUUGUACUAUUUAUGUACAUUGUUUGUGUAUCAUUACAAUUACACUAGUAUGCUGUGUAAUAUUUACAGUUUUAUAAUUAAUUGGUUCAUUUAUAACUUCAGUUCAACGUUGUACUGUUAAAUCUACUGUAAAUCAAAGUUAAACAAAAUGUAUUUUUAAAAUGUAUUUAUGACGGCGGAUGAGAAAAUAAAAUAUACAAUUUUGGACUUUAUUGAAUUUUAAAAACUAGAAAAAUAUAUAAAAAUUUUUGUAAAUCAAUGUGUUACCGAUAUUAAUUUCAGUUAAAAUAACACAACAUAUAACAUUAUAUAACUGUUAUAAUAACAGUUAAAUAACAGUUAAAAUAUAAUUUCAAUAUUUAAGUGUUUUUAAUUUAAAUUUAUAUGAAAUUAAUUAUUAAAUAUAAGUAUGCUUAUUUAAUACCAAGUGUAAUAUAUUAGAUUUAUUAUGAUAUAUCAUAGUGAGAUAUUGAAGCGAUGUAUGAGAUGAUAAUAUGACAAUAAAUACAGAUCAUUCCAUACGCA
Molecule: long non-coding RNA, 2901 nt
Organism: Leptidea sinapis
Lineage: Eukaryota; Metazoa; Arthropoda; Insecta; Lepidoptera; Pieridae
Exons: 2
Source: RefSeq, a predicted model, not a curated record